RNAcentral lists this ribosomal RNA (919 nucleotides) under uncultured Duganella sp. Its description in RNAcentral is "bacterial SSU rRNA". It matches the Rfam family "Bacterial small subunit ribosomal RNA", at positions 58 to 977 of the family's 1533-position model. Lineage: Bacteria; Pseudomonadati; Pseudomonadota; Betaproteobacteria; Burkholderiales; Oxalobacteraceae. The record is from RNAcentral.
CAAGUCGAACGGCAGCGCGGGGCAACCUGGCGGCGAGUGGCGAACGGGUGAGUAAUAUAUCGGAACGUACCCUGGAGUGGGGGAUAACGUAGCGAAAGUUACGCUAAUACCGCAUACGAUCUAAGGAUGAAAGUGGGGGAUCGCAAGACCUCAUGCUCCUGGAGCGGCCGAUAUCUGAUUAGCUAGUUGGUGGGGUAAAGGCCUACCAAGGCAUCGAUCAGUAGCUGGUCUGAGAGGACGACCAGCCACACUGGAACUGAGACACGGUCCAGACUCCUACGGGAGGCAGCAGUGGGGAAUUUUGGACAAUGGGCGAAAGCCUGAUCCAGCAAUGCCGCGUGAGUGAAGAAGGCCUUCGGGUUGUAAAGCUCUUUUGUCAGGGAAGAAACGGCGGUUUCUAAUACAGAUCGCUAAUGACGGUACCUGAAGAAUAAGCACCGGCUAACUACGUGCCAGCAGCCGCGGUAAUACGUAGGGUGCAAGCGUUAAUCGGAAUUACUGGGCGUAAAGCGUGCGCAGGCGGUUUUGUAAGUCUGUCGUGAAAUCCCCGGGCUCAACCUGGGAAUUGCGAUGGAGACUGCAAGGCUAGAAUCUGGCAGAGGGGGGUAGAAUUCCACGUGUAGCAGUGAAAUGCGUAGAGAUGUGGAGGAACACCGAUGGCGAAGGCAGCCCCCUGGGUCAAGAUUGACGCUCAUGCACGAAAGCGUGGGGAGCAAACAGGAUUAGAUACCCUGGUAGUCCACGCCCUAAACGAUGUCUACUAGUUGUCGGGUUUUAAUUAACUUGGUAACGCAGCUAACGCGUGAAGUAGACCGCCUGGGGAGUACGGUCGCAAGAUUAAAACUCAAGGAAUUGACGGGGACCCGCACAAGCGGUGGAUGAUGUGGAUUAAUUCGAUGCACCGCGAAAACCUUACCUA